This 250-nucleotide ribosomal RNA is filed under the name uncultured bacterium. Its description in RNAcentral is "partial 16S ribosomal RNA". It matches the Rfam family "Bacterial small subunit ribosomal RNA", at positions 525 to 775 of the family's 1533-position model. The record is from RNAcentral.
ACGUAUGUCACAAGCGUUAUCCGGAUUUAUUGGGCGUAAAGCGCGUCUAGGUGGUUAUGUAAGUCUGAUGUGAAAAUGCAGGGCUCAACUCUGUAUUGCGUUGGAAACUGUGUAACUAGAGUACUGGAGAGGUAAGCGGAACUACAAGUGUAGAGGUGAAAUUCGUAGAUAUUUGUAGGAAUGCCGAUGGGGAAGCCAGCUUACUGGACAGAUACUGACGCUGAAGCGCGAAAGCGUGGGUAGCAAACAG